CGCGUAGGCGGUAAUGUAAGUCAGACGUGAAAUCCUUCGGCUCAACUGAAGAACUGCGUCUGAAACUGCAUGACUAGAGUGCAGAAGAGGGAAACGGAAUUCCAGGUGUAGAGGUGAAAUUCAUAGAUAUCUGGAGGAACACCGGUGGCGAAGGCGGUUUCCUGGUCUGACACUGACGCUGAGGCGCGAAAGCGUGGGGAGCAAACAGGAUUAGAUACCCUGGUAGUCCACGCCGUAAACGGUGGGUACUGGGUGUGGGAGGUGUAAUGCCUUCUGUGCCGAAGCUAACGCGUUAAGUACCCCGCCUGGGGAGUACGGCCGCAAGGUUGAA
Molecule: ribosomal RNA, 331 nt
Filed under: uncultured bacterium
Lineage: Bacteria
Description: bacterial SSU rRNA
Rfam family: Bacterial small subunit ribosomal RNA
Source: RNAcentral